Molecule: RNA transcript, 5205 nt
Organism: Eucalyptus grandis
Lineage: Eukaryota; Viridiplantae; Streptophyta; Magnoliopsida; Myrtales; Myrtaceae
Gene name: probable inactive receptor kinase At5g10020
Exons: 2
Source: RefSeq, a predicted model, not a curated record
ACACUAACAAUAGAAACCUGUAGACUGUUGUAGACUGAUAUAGAUCGGGAAAACGUAAGAGAGAAGUGAAAUAGAAUCAAUACAAUGCGAGAAAACGUCUUCGUGUUGGUCUGUGUUUAACAUCCACUUCCUUCGCACUACGUUGUUCCGACCGUGCGUGUCCGUGUCUCUUUGCCAUUUCCGUUGUCGUCAACUGUCGAAAGCUCGAGCUGGUUCUCGUCAUCAUCCAAUCUUUGGCUCCCUGCUCAUCAUCGCCGUGCAUUGCCUCUGCAUGUUCGCUUCAUAAAGGUGCCUACAAAUUUUCAUCAACUCCUUGUUGUUGGAGAAGUGGGAUUAUCCGCAUUUCUCUCUAUCGACUCGAUGAUUGUCUGCCGGAACUUCUAGAUUUGCAAUUUUCGGGAAAAGGGUGUUUUGUUAUUGCGUGACGGGAUCUAGUCGUUCUUGUGCUUCGAAGAUUUCGGGUUAUGUCAACUUUUCAUGGUGGCUUUUUGGCGGACAUUUUAGCUUUAGUUCUCAUCGGGUCUUUCACUUGGCUAGCUCGCGGCCUUACUCCAAUUAUGAUUUUUUUGCUUUUGUCGGUGUCUUUUGUAAAUUCUCUCUUUCUCUCUCUCCUUUUGAUCUACUUUGGUGAUGCCUUUUUGUGGUUCCAAAUUUGAUCCAUUGCUUUGGGCUAAAUCUUGAGAAUGUCUUCGUUUUCUCUCUCGGUCAAUCUUGCUUGUCAGUGGCAGAAGUUUUGGGAGCUGGGGCUGUGGAGUGAGGAAUGCAGAUGAUAUGUUUGAUAAUUUGCCUCUUCGUAGCCAAUGCUCUUGCGCAGUCAGACUUAAAAGGGCUUUUGGAGCUGAAGAAAGGGAUCCAGAGGGACCGCUCAGGGCAAUUUCUUGAUUCAUAUGAUUCCAAGUCCUUGGCCUCUGAUGGUUGUCCCCAGAAUUGGCAUGGUGUCACGUGUAGUGAAGGUCAUAUCACAAAAGCUUUUUUCUUGACAACGUGGGCCUAAUUGGGAUCAGCUUAGUUGCUGUUUCUGGCCUCAUCAUGCUUCAGAGUUUUUCAUUAUCUAAAAACCAAUUGACAGGGAUCGUCUCAGAGGUUAGCUCAGGCUUAGAUCAUUUGAAAUGGUUAGAUUUGCACAGUAAUGGAUUUGCUGGAGAUGUCAUGAAGCUGCUCUCUGUUUUCUGUAGCAUAGAGUAUCCUGAUCUGAGCUAUAAUCAGCUCUCCAUUUCACUUGACCUGGUGCUUGGUAAUUCUAGUUUCCUUUCCUCAAUUUGCUUUCUGAACUUUGGCUCUAAUUCUUUAGCAGGGGAGCUAUUUUUGCACAUCGGGAUGCUGUUUUUAACAGUUUGGAGGUGUUUGAUGCUAGUAAUAAUAGGGGAUGAUGUUAUAUCUAAAGUGAAGAUAGAUUUCCUGCCACGUGAAGAUGACAUGUUUCUUUAGCUACGACAAAGUAAUGUUUCUGAAAACUUUUAGAAGCAUGUGUUUGGAUUUUUACUCUUUGAAAAAGAAAAGGAACCCCUAGAAGUAUGUUAGGCAAAUUUCACAAGUCUCUGCGCCUCCUCUGAAAGUUGAAGAAAUCGGAGAAACUUUCCUAAAAAUCUAAUGCUUUCACCGUCUGUUUGAUAUGUGUUGUACUAUAACCAACCUUUAAAAAAUAAUUUUGGGAAAAGUAACUUUGAUUGAGACUCACUCUGCAUGUUUUCAUGGAGUUUGCAUUUGGAAUGUUAUUCUGAAAUGAAUUGUUUUUCUAAAAGCAUUUAUAUGGUUCCUAUAAUUAUUGCCAUUGCUCUUGCCAUGCGAUGAUGUACUGACACAAAAUCUCUGUUCAGGGGAGGUUUUGAUUAAUAUUACAAACUGGAAUGAAGGUGAAGCCUGAAUUUCUUAAUGAGAUUAGCAAAUGUGCCACAUGAAUUUGGUUCUUGGCUUUCACAGCUUUUUAUGUGCUACACAGAUUAUAGUUAGCAAAACAAAAUUUCCAGGUUUCUUCACAAAACUGAAUCUGAUUGUAACACUUAUGGUAAUUCUGAUGUCAUUCAUCAUCUUGGCAGACCCAGUUGGAUGUGUUACCUCUGCAACUUUGAAGAAGUUCAAUUUAUCUUCAGACUGUCGGGCUUGGUACUGUCUGUAUAGGGCAUUGUGCCACAAUAGACUUGAGCAUGCUCUCUGGCAAUUUAUCAUGAAUAUAGAGUUGGGGAAACUCUGUGGAAGGAGUUCCAACUCAUUGACAGGAGCAUUACCUAUCCAAACUUCUCAAUUUUUGAGACUGACUUCAUUCCAGAUCUCGGACAAUUUAGUGGGGGGCCCUCUUCCCCAAGUCUUAGGCACAUAUCCAGAAUUGAAGGUAAUAGUCUUAGCCUCAACCAGCUCAGUGGAAUCCUUUUUCCUAGUUUGUUUAGCUCAACCAAAUUCACUGAUCUUAACUUAUGGUUCAAUCCCUCUUGAGGAAAAUUUAGAUCAUUCUUCUGUAGUUUCCGAUCAGAACUUCAGCCUUUGAAUUAUUGAUCUGCCAAGUAUCUCAUUGAGUGGCUCUCUUCAACUACUUUGAAGGUGGCCUUCCCGAUAAUCUGCUUGAUGAACUUCAAGGAUGUGUCUUACAAUAAUUUCUCAGGCAUUGUGCCUGAAAACUUGAGAAGAUUUCAUGAUUCAGCAUUGCAUCCAGGAAACUCUUUGCUGGUUUCUCCUUAUGCACCAAAAUCUCCGGAAGGGCCGCCAGAUAGGAUUGAGUGAACUCGGGACACAUAUGAGAACUGCUGCUAAGAUUGCCCUUAUUGCAGAUGGUUGGAGGUGCUUAUAUGAUAGCUCUUCUAUGCUUCCUUAUCUCCUGCAGCAGAAAACAAAUGGAAGGUGAAGAUUUGAAAGAAAAUAUAUGGAAAAUUGGUCAUUCUCUAGGCGAUUCUGCAGCCAAUCUUGAAUCAUUUUUCCAGAAGAUAUUGGAGCCCCAUCGUCUUCAGUUACUUUAAAUCCAGAUUAGCUGCCAUAUGCUUGGAUGGGCUUUUCUCCUCAAUCAGAAUCAAAUUCAUCAGUUGCAAAAGUAAAUGUGGAUCUUAGCUAUGUUGAAAGAAUAGAUGAACUGGUUUCUUCUCCUAUCUCUGUUGUCUUCUUCAAAUCCAUUGCCUUCUAACGAACCCAGUGUGCUCAAGGUUGGUUCUCCGGACUAGUUGGAUGGUGACUUGAAUCUAUUUGACAGGUCCUUUAUCUUCACAGCAGGAGAACUUUCGUGUGCUCCUGCAGAAGUCAUGGGAAGGGGUUGUCAUGUAACAUCAUGUAAAGCUGCACUUCAUUCCGGCCAUGUUUUGGUUGUCAGAUGGUUGACCGAAGGAAUAGCAAAAGGAAGGAAAGACUUCACUAGGGAAUUCAAGAAACUUGGGAGCAUCAAACUUCCAAAUCUAGUUCCUUUACAGGGUUACUACAGGCGGGUUAAAGGAGCAUGAAAAGCUUAUCAUAUCUAAUUAUAUCCAUGCAGCAAGCAUGGACCUUUAUCUUGGAGGUAACCUUGCCCGUCUUUAUGCUUGACUUGAUAUUAGACCUUUAAUAUGUGAUCCAAACAUUGCCAUGGUCUUGCUAUCGAUAGACCUGUUUCCAUGUCUAAGUAUUUUAGCUCGUGAUUCUUAAAGCUUAAACUGGCAAUGAACUGUUGCUUAGAAAAGCAGAAGUUGAUAAUCCAUAUUCUAAUUUAUUUUUUUAUAAUUGAAUAAACUGCAACCCUCUUUGUGUGAUGCUCUACCCUUAUUAAAUUCAUGGUCUAUGUGAGAGAUUAGUCGGAUGAGGUCUUAGUGCUGUCUUACUAUGUGCACUAUCUUCUGCAAGUGAAGGCAUUGCAAAUAAAGUGCAUCUCUAGAAAACGUAGAAGAUGGUCAUCAGGAGUCAGACAUGCCAUCCACGGAAGAGCACCUUAACCAUCUCGACAUAUGGAGCAAAGCUAGUACAGUAUGACAAUUUUCAACUGGCUAGGUUUUUGGUCCUGAACAUAGUAAUAGUGGAUUUGAUGAACAGAAUGACUUAGUCGGUUAUACAGAGGGUUGGUGCUUAUACAUUAAUUUUUUCUAUGCUUGGGCAAUGUAAAAUAUACCCUUAUUUAUUUGGGAAUUGAAGUUGUUCAUCGUCAUUUCACUCUGGAAAAUCCUAUUGGCAUGGAUUGAGAUAAUACUGAAGAUAACAUAGGAAACAAUUGAAUGUUACUUAGCAUUGAUUAAGAACACCCACGAGUCCAUGGCACAUGUUUGAAGCUCUUUGCAGCAAAGAUGGAUCCAAGGAAACUAUCGCCCUUGUCUCUCGACACAAGGCUCCAGAUCACUUUAUAUAUGGCACGUUGCUUGAACUUCCUCAAUAAUGAGAAAGGAAUACCGCACAGCAACCUGAGGUCAACUAACAUCUUGUUAGAAGCUCCGGACUUUAAUGUUGGAGGUGGCUCUGAGAUGAUCCUUCCAGCGUCUGACAGGUCUGACAUUAGUAAGACAGUUUUUUGAAGAUCUUAUUUCUCUACGGCCAUUAUGCGCACGCCAAGCUAAUUGAUAAAUUUGGUCAUUGUUACUUCCUGUACUAACUCUCAUUCUUGUCUAUUUUUGGUUCUUCCAAUUAAUUCAUAUUUGGUCUUUGUGUUUAAUUCUUCACUUGAUUAGGUCUAGCAUAUCUAGUUCUUGCCAAGAUUUCUUUUUUGGUAUUCUUCCGGAGAAAUCAUCCAAAUAGCUGCAUCUAGAUGUAAGGGGGAUAAUCAUCAUUCUUUUUCUUAUUUGUGACCGUUUGCUUUUUACUUCUGAAUAAUUUGUUGGCAAUGUUUCUGCCAGAACGGCCGAGCCGUUACUUAUUGCGCUCCUUUCCAUUGGUCCUGUAACUCAUGUUUCAUCACUUUGCUAAACAGACAAUUUAGGACCGACAAUCUACUGUGGCAUUUUCUUUCUCCUUCUUCACCUCUUCAUUUUGUUGCAGAAAAAGUUCACACCAUCUUGAUCAAGCCAGUGUACUAUUUCGCUCCAACCGUGGCCGAAAAAUUUGCAGAGUGGAGCUUUAUCUCGGUCCAUAUAAUUGUCUGUGAAUGCAGCUGGACUUCUGGUUCUUUGGAACUUCGUGAGACUACUUGUUCAUUUGAAUUGCGUCAGUUUCUUCCUGAAAGUGUUGGGCCCGACAAGCACAUACAAUGCUUCAACAAAUGUGACACUCAACACAGAAACAAUCAUAUUGACAACUCUUUUCGUGAAAAUCGGUUGAUUUGGGCAUAAA